Molecule: non-coding RNA, 234 nt
Organism: Pelobates cultripes (western spadefoot toad)
Lineage: Eukaryota; Metazoa; Chordata; Amphibia; Anura; Pelobatidae
Source: the annotation of a GenBank genome assembly
GCGGGAUGUUGUAGGGGGUGGAGCGUCAGCGAUGGGAUAAGGUAACUUCAUUCACCGGGAGGGUGGGCGCAAGGGAGGCAGAGGGAGCUAUAGCGCCAGGAAUACAACUGUGUAUUCCUGGCACUAUAGUAUCCCUUUAAAUGGAAUGGACUUGGGAACAAUUAUAGAUGAAAUCCUAAGCAAUAGUAUACAAUGCUGGCCAGCUAUUGCAAAACCUAGUUGCCUGCUUUCAUG